This is a long non-coding RNA of Pomacea canaliculata, 551 nucleotides long. RefSeq lists it as uncharacterized. The transcript has 4 exons. Lineage: Eukaryota; Metazoa; Mollusca; Gastropoda; Architaenioglossa; Ampullariidae. The record is from RefSeq and is a predicted model, not a curated record.
AUGUUAUUUUUAUUUAAAUUUGAACGUGCGCCAUGUAAAGGUAGGUCACUCUCGUACUUCCGACAGGAAGCCAUUAUGCAAAGACGCUAUAAAAGAUCCGUGAUGUUAUACUUGUGAUAUAUUUUGCUCUAUCGUGUAUUAUCAGUUUUGAAAAAUGACUGAUAAGCACCAUGUACGUCAUAAUAGUUAUUUUUGGUUUAAAUACAACGACUGCUGAUGUCACUCUCAUCUAGUAACACUUUACACAAUUGACAAUCCCAGACCUCCAGUGUAAACUAAAUUCGAGAUUCCCAUAUAAAAUUGUCUUUACAUGAUUUGUGGCUUCUUAUUAUUAUUUACAACAUUUCUUUGUAAUGGGGAAACCCUGUUUAACCAUUGUUAGACUGCUGUCUGGCUACGAGCAGCAACGAUUUCCAGUACAACACUCAGAAUAUUCAAACAGAAUAUUCAUAAAGAGAGAAGAAGAACAUUUUAUAUAAUUCUGCUUUUGAACAUAUGGAUAUACUCAUCUGGAGCAGCUGUGGUUACAGAUUGCCCUGGGGAAGUAGACU